This 440-nucleotide ribosomal RNA is filed under the name uncultured bacterium. RNAcentral's name for it is "partial 16S ribosomal RNA". It matches the Rfam family "Bacterial small subunit ribosomal RNA", at positions 338 to 795 of the family's 1533-position model. The record is from RNAcentral.
CCUACGGGAGGCAGCAGUGGGGAAUAUUGCACAAUGGGGGAAACCCUGAUGCAGCGACGCCGCGUGAGUGAAGAAGUAAUUCGUUAUGUAAAGCUCUAUCAGCAGGGAAGAAAAUGACGGUACCUGAGUAAGAAGCCACGGCUAACUACGUGCCAGCAGCCGCGGUAAGACGUAGGGGGCAAGCGUUAUCCGGAUUUACUGGGUGUAAAGGGAGCGUAGACGGCAGUGCAAGUCUGGAGUGAAAGGCGGGGGCUCAACCCCCGGACUGCUCUGGAAACUGUACGGCUGGAGUGCAGGAGAGGUAAGUGGAAUUCCUAGUGUAGCGGUGAAAUGCGUAGAUAUUAGGAGGAACACCAGUGGCGAAGGCGGCUUACUGGACUGUAACUGACGUUGAGGCUCGAAAGCGUGGGGAGCAAACAGGAUUAGAUACCCCUGUAGUC